CCUACGGGAGGCAGCAGUGGGGAAUAUUGCACAAUGGGGGAAACCCUGAUGCAGCGACGCCGCGUGGGUGAAGAAGCGCCUCGGCGCGUAAAGCCCUGUCAGCAGGGAAGAAAAUGACGGUACCUGAAGAAGAAGCCCCGGCUAACUACGUGCCAGCAGCCGCGGUAAUACGUAGGGGGCAAGCGUUAUCCGGAUUUACUGGGUGUAAAGGGGGCGCAGCAGGCGAUGCAAGCCAGGAGUGAAAGCCCGGGGCCCAACGCCGGGACUGCUCUUGGAACUGCGUGGCUAGAGUGCAGGAGGGGCAGGAGGAAUUCCUGGUGUAGCGGUGAAAUGCGUAGAUAUCAGGAGGAACACCGGUGGCGAAGGCGGCCUGCUGGACUGCAACUGACGUUGAGGCCCGAAAGCGUGGGGAGCAAACAGGAUUAGAUACCCUAGUAGUC
RNAcentral lists this ribosomal RNA (440 nucleotides) under uncultured bacterium. RNAcentral's name for it is "partial 16S ribosomal RNA". It matches the Rfam family "Bacterial small subunit ribosomal RNA", at positions 338 to 795 of the family's 1533-position model. The record is from RNAcentral.